This is a long non-coding RNA of Carica papaya (papaya), 658 nucleotides long. RefSeq lists it as uncharacterized. The record is from RefSeq and is a predicted model, not a curated record. Lineage: Eukaryota; Viridiplantae; Streptophyta; Magnoliopsida; Brassicales; Caricaceae.
AGUGUCAAUGAACAACGAAGAGGGAAAGGGAGUUUGAGAGAGGAAGUUGAGCAUGGGGAAGAGAUCGAGUACAGGAGUGAGAGAGAGAAAGGGAGAUCGGAGUGACUAAGAGAAAACAAAGGCCGAGGAAAAAGGUGAAACUAGGAAGUAGAGAGGGAAAGGGAGAGGGAGUUGAGCUGAGAGCCUAUUUCGAUUCUCUAGACACCUACUGCCAGUGAGACUCAUUCUUUUUUUGGUAAAGAGGGGUAUUCUAAGGAGCUCCAGUUUUAAGGAAUAUCUCAAUGGUCAAGUUCGGAGACAAUGGAGCUUUGGCCAACUGUGUUGGAGCCCCACCAGGUUCUAAACAUGAGGCAUGAUACAAGAGAGCAAAGAGGGGUAUUUUAAGGAGCAUCGGCUUCAAGAAACAUCCUCAUGGUUAAGUCCGAAGAUAAUGGACCUCUGGCCAAAUGUUUUGGACCCCACCGAGUUUCAAACAUGUGGCAUGAUACAGGAGAGUAUGUUGCAUGAUUGAUCUAACACCCUAAAAACCUUUGUGCUUAAUUUGUAUUAUGAACCCUUAUUUAUUUAGCCCCUAAGACCAUUUAAACUAUUUAAAUUCUAAAUUUUAAUUUCUGGAUAAAUUCAACAUUUGAAGUUUCGUAUUUAUUUAGUUUAAAUU